Molecule: long non-coding RNA, 1050 nt
Organism: Trifolium pratense (red clover)
Lineage: Eukaryota; Viridiplantae; Streptophyta; Magnoliopsida; Fabales; Fabaceae
Exons: 5
Source: RefSeq, a predicted model, not a curated record
AAGAAAAUUGUCACUUUGCGACACUUGCAUUGCGACCAUUUGGCUGGAACCGUUGCAAUGUGCUGAAUUUUGAAAUUUUGCAACAGUACAUGCGACGGUUUUGUCAACCGUUGUAAUAUUUUGGCUUAAUUUGGGAAUUCUGCGACAGUUAAGUUAACCGUUGCAAUGUUUUGGCUUUUGCAAAAAAAGAAGAAAAAAAAUCACUACCUAACACGAUUUAUCAAAACUAACUCACACUAUCACAAAUCCCUAAAUCCCUAAAACAUGAUCUCCAGUGUCUUCAAUCGUUCUCUUCACCGUAAAUCCCUAAAUCACUCUCGGCAAUCUCGUUCUCUCCAACCUCUCCAUCGAUGUCUCCAAAGAGAAACCAUUCUCUUUAACUUCAUUAUUGUUCCAAUUCCAGAAAUUGUUGCCGUGGAGAAAUCGUUGCCGUCCUGAUACACGUUCAGAGAAAGUUAGGACUGGAGGGUUCAGCAAGGGUGCAUCUAUAACAUAACAUUAUACUCUGCAGCUUGUUAUCACAUGGGGAGAUUAUAUAGCUCAUUAUUUAUCAAUAUUUUCAGGAGGUGGUCAAAAAUCUUCGGUUGUCAUCCUCUCUAAAAGAUUUAUUCUCUUCCUUCAAGUUCAAUGGAAUGUUAAAAUGCAAGUCUGAUAGGUUGUUCUCAGAAGAAGUUUAGAGGCUAAAGAAUAUGCAUACUGGAGUUAUGAACUUGGAUGGUUCUUUGUAAAAUCCUAUUGAUUUUUUCAAGUAUGUCCUUUACUUUCCAAGCAUGGUUCGAGCAUAGAGGUAACCGAAUAAGAAGAGUCAAGUGAUGGUAGGCGUUUCUGAGUCUAGUGCACACUAAUUAAGGAUUAUGAAGCAACAUCACAUACUAGGGAUAUUUAGAUAUUUUUUGAACUUAUUUUGACGUGUUGUUAUGUUUAACCACUCUACUAAUAUUUAUGUUUUGAACUACAUUAGUUUCUUUCGUUUGGAACUUCAAGUACUUGAAUUAAAUUUUGAUGUAUGGAUCUUGUCACUAUUGAAUGAAUUAUAUAAAUGAGAUUAAG